GACGAACGCUGGCGGCGUGCAUAAUACAUGCAAGUCGAACGCUUCUUUUUCCACCGGAGCUUGCUCCACCGGAAAAAGAAGAGUGGCGAACGGGUGAGUAACACGUGGGUAACCUGCCCAUCAGAAGGGGAUAACACUUGGAAACAGGUGCUAAUACCGUAUAACAAUCAAAACCGCAUGGUUUUGAUUUGAAAGGCGCUUUCGGGUGUCGCUGAUGGAUGGACCCGCGGUGCAUUAGCUAGUUGGUGAGGUAACGGCUCACCAAGGCCACGAUGCAUAGCCGACCUGAGAGGGUGAUCGGCCACAUUGGGACUGAGACACGGCCCAAACUCCUACGGGAGGCAGCAGUAGGGAAUCUUCGGCAAUGGACGAAAGUCUGACCGAGCAACGCCGCGUGAGUGAAGAAGGUUUUCGGAUCGUAAAACUCUGUUGUUAGAGAAGAACAAGGAUGAGAGUAACUGUUCAUCCCUUGACGGUAUCUAACCAGAAAGCCACGGCUAACUACGUGCCAGCAGCCGCGGUAAUACGUAGGUGGCAAGCGUUGUCCGGAUUUAUUGGGCGUAAAGCGAGCGCAGGCGGUUUCUUAAGUCUGAUGUGAAAGCCCCCGGCUCAACCGGGGAGGGUCAUUGGAAACUGGGAGACUUGAGUGCAGAAGAGGAGAGUGGAAUUCCAUGUGUAGCGGUGAAAUGCGUAGAUAUAUGGAGGAACACCAGUGGCGAAGGCGGCUCUCUGGUCUGUAACUGACGCUGAGGCUCGAAAGCGUGGGGAGCAAACAGGAU
This 779-nucleotide ribosomal RNA is filed under the name Enterococcus faecium. RNAcentral describes it as "bacterial SSU rRNA". It matches the Rfam family "Bacterial small subunit ribosomal RNA", at positions 28 to 778 of the family's 1533-position model. The record is from RNAcentral. Lineage: Bacteria; Bacillati; Bacillota; Bacilli; Lactobacillales; Enterococcaceae.